UACGUAGGGUGCAAGCGUUAAUCGGAAUUACUGGGCGUAAAGCGUGCGCGGGCGGUUUUGUAAGACAGAUGUGAAAUGCCCGGGCUUAACCUGGGAACUGCAUUUGUGACUGCAAGGCUAGAGUGUGUCAGAGGGGGGUAGAAUUCCACGUGUAGCAGUGAAAUGCGUAGAUAUGUGGAGGAAUACCGAUGGCGAAGGCAGCCCCCUGGGAUAACACUGACGCUCAUGCACGAAAGCGUGGGGAGCAAACAGG
RNAcentral lists this ribosomal RNA (253 nucleotides) under uncultured bacterium. Its description in RNAcentral is "partial 16S ribosomal RNA". It matches the Rfam family "Bacterial small subunit ribosomal RNA", at positions 524 to 776 of the family's 1533-position model. The record is from RNAcentral.